UUCGAUGUCAUCAAAACAAUGAUUGAGGAUGUCCUGGAAGUAAGGAGAGAGCAGACGCGUAAUGGUGAAGAAAUACACGCUCGGUUUCUUCUGGGUGCAGCUCUGAGAAACCAGAAGGAGAAGAGCUGGAUGAGGAUGAAGAUGAGGAUGGAGAGAUGGGGUGUUUAUGCAUUCACAGCGGAGGAGAGAUGACACCGACAACUCUUCCAGCUCCUUAUCAAUGGAUGACUCUAUUGGUCCGGACCUCAAGAAGGACCUCAGCCCUGGACACCCGAUUAGAAUCAAUGAGAAGAGAAAUCCAUGAAAGAGCCUCUUCAACAGUGUCCACACCAUCAUCUCCAAGAGACAAACUCACCAGCUUCUGUAUUAUAAACAGAGGAAGACAGGAACACUUUACAAUCAGGUCCCAUUAUUUAGGUUGGCCAUAAAAAAGUACAUCCAAGAGGUUGUUAUCGCAGAAUAAAGCCUGACAGUUUUAUCGGCUUAUCAAUGUGAAGCUGAGGGCUAUUGUGUAAGACUGAGGGGCUUUAUUCUGCGAAAACAACCCUUCUGGAUGGACUUUAUUCUACUUAUUACAUGGCUACUUGCCACAAAACAUUGUUCUAAGCUGUAAUCGUUUAUUAAUUCUUUAAUUACAUGCAAAGCUGACAGAAAAGAAAACAGCUGAUGGAGUAUACACUAACCUGCACAUUAUUCAGACACACGAUAGCGCCAAACAGACAAAAACGCAAAUCUGA
Molecule: non-coding RNA, 737 nt
Organism: Danio rerio (zebrafish)
Lineage: Eukaryota; Metazoa; Chordata; Actinopteri; Cypriniformes; Danionidae
Source: RefSeq, a predicted model, not a curated record